RNAcentral lists this transfer RNA (74 nucleotides) under Mitsuaria sp. 7. It matches the Rfam family "tRNA". From Rfam's summary of the family: Transfer RNA (tRNA) molecules are approximately 80 nucleotides in length. Their secondary structure includes four short double-helical elements and three loops (D, anti-codon, and T loops). Lineage: Bacteria; Pseudomonadati; Pseudomonadota; Betaproteobacteria; Burkholderiales; Sphaerotilaceae. The record is from Rfam by way of RNAcentral.
GUGGCCGUAGCGCAGUCGGUCAGCGCGCCGGGUUGUGGCCCCGGAGGCCGUCGGUUCGAUCCCGACCGGUCACC